ACUCCGUACGGGAGGCAGCAGGUAGGGUAAUAUUGCACAAUGGGGGAAACCCUGAUGCAGCCAUGCCGCGUGUGUGAAGAAGGCCUUCGGGUUGUAAAGCACUUUCAGUAGGGAGGAAGGUAGUGUAGUUAACACCUGCACUAUUUGACGUUACCUACAGAAGAAGCACCGGCUAACUCCGUGCCAGCAGCCGCGGUAAUACGGAGGGUGCGAGC
Molecule: ribosomal RNA, 215 nt
Filed under: uncultured bacterium
Lineage: Bacteria
Description: partial 16S ribosomal RNA
Rfam family: Bacterial small subunit ribosomal RNA
Source: RNAcentral